GAAUUGACGGGGGCCCGCACAAGCGGUGGAGCAUGUGGUUUAAUUCGAUGCAACGCGAAGAACCUUACCUGGUCUUGACAUCCACAGAACUUUCCAGAGAUGGAUUGGUGCCUUCGGGAACUGUGAGACAGGUGCUGCAUGGCUGUCGUCAGCUCGUGUUGUGAAAUGUUGGGUUAAGUCCCGCAACGAGCGCAACCCUUAUCCUUUGUUGCCAGCGGUUAGGCCGGGAACUCAAAGGAGACUGCCAGUGAUAAACUGGAGGAAGGUGGGGAUGACGUCAAGUCAUCAUGGCCCUUACGACCAGGGCUACACACGUGCUACAAUGGCAUAUACAAAGAGAAGCGACCUCGCGAGAGCAAGCGGACCUCAUAAAGUAUGUCGUAGUCCGGAUUGGAGUCUGCAACUCGACUCCAUGAAGUCGGAAUCGCUAGUAAUCGUAGAUCAGAAUGCUACGGUGAAUACGUUCCCGGGCCUUGUACACACCGCCCGUCACACCAUGGGAGUGGGUUGCAAAAGAAGUAGGUAGCUUAACCUUCGGGAGGGCGCUUACCACUUUGUGAUUCAUGACUGGGGUGAAGUCGUAACAAGGUAACCGUAAU
This 599-nucleotide ribosomal RNA is filed under the name Klebsiella pneumoniae. RNAcentral describes it as "bacterial SSU rRNA". It matches the Rfam family "Bacterial small subunit ribosomal RNA", at positions 907 to 1506 of the family's 1533-position model. Lineage: Bacteria; Pseudomonadati; Pseudomonadota; Gammaproteobacteria; Enterobacterales; Enterobacteriaceae. The record is from RNAcentral.